UGAGGGGAAGGAGCGGCUCCGGCGGGCCGGGCUCCCCCGGUUCGCUGCCAUGAGGGGAAGGAGCGGCUCCGGCGGGCCGGGCUCCCCCGGUUCGCUGCCAUGAGGGGAAGGAGCGGCUCCGGCGGGCCGGGCUGUUUUCUGCCGCUGCCAUGAGGGGAAGGAGCGGCUCCGGGCGGGUCGGGCUCACUCGGCUCGCCGCCAUGAGGGGCCGCCGCCGCCAAUGAGGCCUUCAGCCGAUAGGGGAUCGCGGUGCCCCGGAGCUGUGGGUGGCCGGGCGCCGCCCGAAGGAGCCCUGAGGUGACCCGACCCCGUCGUGUGUGAAAGCCGAGCUGUGCUGUGCUGGGACAGCCAAGGAGGCAUCUCCAGGGGGGCACUGGAGCCUGCCGAGAGGAGAUGUGAAGGGAUAACCUGCCCGUGAGGCACAGGGAGAGCUCUGGAGCAACGUUGAGUGAGGUAAAUUGUUGGUUUGGGGCUUGCUGGAGCAGCAGGAGUGGUCAGAAGUAAAAGCUGUGGAUGCUGCUUUGAAGAUCCGUGUUAGAAAGGUAUUGGGAAGAUGGAAACCUGGAGCCCACAGUUUAAACGGGGCAGCUAGAGAAGAAUUCGUUUUCAGGAUGUGGAUGUAGGAAUUGGAAACAUCAAAGGUGUAUUAAAGGGCGAGAUAUAACAAGAAUUAUGUGUAAAAUUUAUUGUUAAUCUCCUCUCAGUGCUUGUUUAAAAUACAUUUUUAUAUGACCUCAA
Long non-coding RNA from Pseudopodoces humilis (Tibetan ground-tit), 738 nucleotides. RefSeq lists it as uncharacterized. NCBI's taxonomy places the organism in Eukaryota, Metazoa, Chordata, Aves, Passeriformes, Paridae. The record is from RefSeq and is a predicted model, not a curated record.